AAACUAGGAUUAGAUACCCUAUUAUUAUGAGCUGUAAAUUGUCAGUAUAUAAAUAUUACGAAAACAAAAAAUUAUGGCGGUACUUUAAGCUUUUCAGAGGAAUUUGCUCUUUUAUGGAUAAAACACCUGAAUCUUACUAAAAUUAGUGAAGUCAGUUUGUAUACCACUAUAAAAGUAAUAAUUUAUUAUUAUUACUUUAAUUUUUGAUUUAAAAAUUAAAUUAAGUCAUGGUGCAGCAAAAAUUUUAGGAUGAAGUGAAUUACAUUUCUUUUAAGAAAAAAAAUAAUGAAAAUUUUAACUUAGGAUUUGAAAGUAAAUAUUUAAUAUAAUGAAAUAUUGAAUUUAGCCCUAAAGUAUGUACAUAUCGCCCGUGUCGUACAAGAUAAGUCGUAACAUAGUA
This 400-nucleotide ribosomal RNA is filed under the name Amblyomma darwini. Its description in RNAcentral is "partial 12S ribosomal RNA". The record is from RNAcentral. Lineage: Eukaryota; Metazoa; Arthropoda; Arachnida; Ixodida; Ixodidae.